GCUAAUUAGACGAAUAAGUUGGAAUGCUUAACCAAAGAAAGUGAUAGUCUUGUAGUCGAAAAUUAAAACAAUCAGAUUGUAUCCCAAGUAGCAUGGAGCACGUGAAAUUCCGUGUGAAUCUGCGAGGACCACCUCGUAAGGCUAAAUAUUCCUGAAUGACCGAUAGUGAAACAGUACCGUGAGGGAAAGGUGAAAAGAACCCCGGGAGGGGAGUGAAAAGAACAUGAAACCAUAAACUUACAAUCAGUAGGAGGACGACUGAAACGUCUGACUGCGUGCCUGUUGAAGAAUGAGCCGGCGACUUAUAGGUAGUGGCAGGUUAAAGCAGAGAAUGCUGGAGCCAUAGUGAAAGCGAGCCUGAAUAGGGCGUUUGUCACUGGUUAUAGACCCGAACCCGGAUGAUCUAACCAUGGUCAGGUUGAAGCUUAGGUAAUACUAAGUGGAGGACCGAACCGACUGAUGUUGAAAAAUCAGCGGAUGAAUUGUGGUUAGGGGUGAAAUGCCAAUCGAAUUCGGAGCUAGCUGGUUCUCCCCGAAAUGCGUUUUGGCGCAGCGAUAAAUCAAAGACUUGGGGGUAAAGCACUGUUACGUAUGCGGGCUGGUAAUUCGGUACCAAAUCGUUGCAAACUAAGAAUACUAAGUGA
Molecule: ribosomal RNA, 644 nt
Filed under: uncultured Symbiodinium
Lineage: Eukaryota; Dinophyceae; Suessiales; Symbiodiniaceae
Description: partial Bacterial large subunit ribosomal RNA
Rfam family: Bacterial large subunit ribosomal RNA
Source: RNAcentral